CAGAUUUGAAAACCAGUUGUCCCCUCGGCUGGCUGUAGUGAUUUCCGCUUUGAAAAUUUCGCCAUGCCUGUUCGUUUGCUGUUUAACAGAAGUCUUUUUCUGGAGUUCUUUUUUCGCGGUAGAAGAUGAGCAGUCCAGCAGAUCUGCUUGCUCAAGAACCAACCGGCAUUGAAUCCAUAUCGAAUGAAGAAAUAAUAGCCGACCAGUGCGCCGCGGGGAUAACUCAGAUGUCCGUCAAAGAGGCGCGGGCACUGUCGACGGUAGCUGAGGCAGACGAGCUGGAUUCUUCUAAUGGUAGCACAGAGCAGCACGUCUCAACAGUUCUAUACGGAGAUCCUGGAUCGAAAUCAAGGACUCCAAAUGUGAUUGAUGUCGAAAGGGAAAAGAGCAAUAAACUCGAUUUAUGAGCUUGAUGCACACGUACAGAAGUCACAGACACGGCGUGAUGCCUGACGAACGAGCGGCUAGUGCAGAUAGGAUUAGUGCACUGGAAUUAGCAUUUAGAGGAUUCGCUUAGAGGAAAGGAGAUGCAAUUGUUGUGCCUUCUUUGGGCUUGACAUUUGAUUCGCUAGGAGAGGCUUACGACUACUACAACAUGUAUUCAUGGGAGUGCGGUUUCGGAAUCAGGUACGGUAAGAGCCGUACAAAUGUCAAAGGUGCUAAAAGCAUGCAAGAGCUGCUUUGCAACUGCAGGGGGAAACCAAAGAAGGCGAACUCUACCUCUUCGAGAACAGAGUGUCCAGCGAUGAUUAGAUUGCUGAGAACUGAAGAUGAUGG
Long non-coding RNA from Triticum dicoccoides, 777 nucleotides. RefSeq lists it as uncharacterized. The transcript has 4 exons. NCBI's taxonomy places the organism in Eukaryota, Viridiplantae, Streptophyta, Magnoliopsida, Poales, Poaceae. The record is from RefSeq and is a predicted model, not a curated record.